AAACCAAUAAAGUUUUCUUUAUUGGGGUUGCGGACAUAUCAUAACGAAGAGGUAUCGUAAUUGAAGAGGUUUGGAAAGACCCACCACAGAAGGUAAUAGUCCUGUAUGUUAAACGAGAAGACUUUAGGUAUGAUCCAGAGUACCACGGGACACGUGAAACCCUGUGGGAAGCAGGAGGGACCACCCUCCAAGGCUAAAUACUACCUAGUGACCGAU
This 216-nucleotide ribosomal RNA is filed under the name Clostridioides difficile. RNAcentral describes it as "partial 23S ribosomal RNA". It matches the Rfam family "Bacterial large subunit ribosomal RNA", at positions 271 to 488 of the family's 2925-position model. Lineage: Bacteria; Bacillati; Bacillota; Clostridia; Peptostreptococcales; Peptostreptococcaceae. The record is from RNAcentral.